This 492-nucleotide ribosomal RNA is filed under the name uncultured bacterium. Its description in RNAcentral is "partial 16S ribosomal RNA". It matches the Rfam family "Bacterial small subunit ribosomal RNA", at positions 29 to 507 of the family's 1533-position model. The record is from RNAcentral.
AGUGAACGCUGGCGGUAGGCCUAACACAUGCAAGUCGAACGGCAGCACAGUAAGAGCUUGCUCUUACGGGUGGCGAGUGGCAGACGGGUGAGGAAUACAGCGGAAUCUACUUUUUCGUGGGGGAAAACGUAGGGAAACUUACGCUAAUACCGCAUACGACCUACGGGUGAAAGCAGGGGAUCUUCGGACCUUGCGCGAUUGAAUGAGCCGAUGUCGGAUUAGCUAGUUGGCGGGGUAAAGGCCCACCAAGGCGACGAUCCGUAGCUGGUCUGAGAGGAUGAUCAGCCACACUGGAACUGAGACACGGUCCAGACUCCUACGGGAGGCAGCAGUGGGGAAUAUUGGACAAUGGGCGCAAGCCUGAUCCAGCCAUACCGCGUGGAUGAAGAAGGCCUUCGGGUUGUAAAGCACUUUUGUUGGGAAAGAAAAGCAGCAGGUUAAUACCCCGCUGUUCUGACGGUACCCAAAGAAUAAGCACCGGCUAACUUCGUG